Molecule: non-coding RNA, 115 nt
Filed under: Peptoclostridium acidaminophilum
Lineage: Bacteria; Bacillati; Bacillota; Clostridia; Peptostreptococcales; Peptoclostridiaceae
Also listed under: 1 other name
Description: FMN sequence
Rfam family: FMN riboswitch aptamer (RFN element)
About the family: The RFN element is a highly conserved domain that is found frequently in the 5'-untranslated regions of prokaryotic mRNAs that encode for flavin mononucleotide (FMN) biosynthesis and transport proteins. This element is a metabolite-dependent riboswitch that directly binds FMN in the absence of proteins.
Source: RNAcentral
UUUUAACUUCAGGGCAGGGUGAGAUUCCCGACCGGCGGUAUAGUCCGCGAGCCUAAGGGCUGAACUGGUUAGAUUCCAGUACCGACAGUGAAAGUCUGGAUGGGAGAAGUAUGUA